Molecule: long non-coding RNA, 316 nt
Filed under: Cavia porcellus (domestic guinea pig)
Lineage: Eukaryota; Metazoa; Chordata; Mammalia; Rodentia; Caviidae
Description: lncRNA (ENSCPOG00000038138.1)
Source: RNAcentral
UACUGGCUGUGGUCUGAUGCUUCUGUGUGUGAUCUGUUCCCUUCGAAGGUGUGCUGGGCCUGAUUGCUGGAGGAAUGACAUUGCUUCUUCCUGAGACCAAGGGGGCUGCUCUGCCCGAAACCAUUGAGGAUGCUGAGAACUUCCAGAGGAAAGCAAAGCCCAAAGAAAACACAAUUUAUCUCCAGGUCCAGAUAUCGGAAGGUGCGGGUACCUGAGAGCUGCUUUACUUGGAGCUGACCAGAAGAGAUGAAGAGGAAUUUAUCAUUCAAACAAAAUUCCAGAAAUCUGUGCUUUUCUGUAUUUUUUCUUAUACUCC